CAGCAGCCCGGGAAAACGUAGGUGGCAAGCGUUGUCCGGAAUUAUUGGGCGUAAAGGGCUCGCAGGCGGUUUCUUAAGUCUGAUGUGAAAGCCCCCGGCUCAACCGGGGAGGGUCAUUGGAAACUGGGAAACUUGAGUGCAGAAGAGGAGAGUGGAAUUCCACGUGUAGCGGUGAAAUGCGUAGAGAUGUGGAGGAACACCAGUGGCGAAGGCGACUCUCUGGUCUGUAACUGACGCUGAGGAGCGAAAGCGUGGGGAGCGAACAGGAUUAGAUACCCCGGUAGUCCCUGUCUCUUAUACA
This 301-nucleotide ribosomal RNA is filed under the name uncultured bacterium. Its description in RNAcentral is "partial 16S ribosomal RNA". It matches the Rfam family "Bacterial small subunit ribosomal RNA", at positions 509 to 808 of the family's 1533-position model. The record is from RNAcentral.